AGCCGGAAUCGCUAGUAAUCGCGGAUCAGAAUGCCGCGGUGAAUACGUUCCCGGGUCUUGUACACACCGCCCGUCACACCAUGGGAGUCGGAAAUGCCCGAAGCCGGUGGCCUAACCGAUAAGGGAGGAGCCGUCGAAGGCAGGUCUGAUGACUGGGGUGAAGUCGUAACAAGGUAUC
This 178-nucleotide ribosomal RNA is filed under the name uncultured bacterium. Its description in RNAcentral is "partial 16S ribosomal RNA". It matches the Rfam family "Bacterial small subunit ribosomal RNA", at positions 1324 to 1500 of the family's 1533-position model. The record is from RNAcentral.